Molecule: transfer RNA, 65 nt
Filed under: Parathailocyba orla
Lineage: Eukaryota; Metazoa; Arthropoda; Insecta; Hemiptera; Cicadellidae
Description: tRNA-Ser
Rfam family: tRNA
About the family: Transfer RNA (tRNA) molecules are approximately 80 nucleotides in length. Their secondary structure includes four short double-helical elements and three loops (D, anti-codon, and T loops). Further hydrogen bonds mediate the characteristic L-shaped molecular structure. tRNAs have two regions of fundamental functional importance: the anti-codon, which is responsible for specific mRNA codon recognition, and the 3' end, to which the tRNAs corresponding amino acid is attached (by aminoacyl-tRNA synthetases). tRNAs cope with the degeneracy of the genetic code in two manners: having more than one tRNA (with a specific anti-codon) for a particular amino acid; and 'wobble' base-pairing, i.e. permitting non-standard base-pairing at the 3rd anti-codon position.
Source: RNAcentral
AGCUAUUUAGCUUAAAGUUAAAAGCAUUUAUUUUGAAAAUAAAAGAUAGAAAAAUUUAAUAGCUU